Molecule: microRNA precursor, 204 nt
Filed under: Oryza nivara
Lineage: Eukaryota; Viridiplantae; Streptophyta; Magnoliopsida; Poales; Poaceae
Description: MIR812 microRNA precursor family
Rfam family: MIR812 microRNA precursor family
Source: Rfam by way of RNAcentral
AAUAGAUGACGCCGUUGACUUUUUCUCACAUGUUUGACCAUUCGUCUUAUUCAAAAAAUUUACGUAAUUAUAAUUUAUUUUAUUAUGAGUUGUUUUAUCACUCAUAGUACUUUAAGUGUGAUUUAUAUUUUAUAUAUUUGCAUAAAGUUUUUAAAUAAGACGAAUGGUCAAACAUGUGAGAAAAAGUCAACGGUGUCAUCUAUU